Lolium perenne is the source of this 121-nucleotide small nucleolar RNA. RefSeq annotates it as small nucleolar RNA SNORD14. The record is from RefSeq and is a predicted model, not a curated record. NCBI's taxonomy places the organism in Eukaryota, Viridiplantae, Streptophyta, Magnoliopsida, Poales, Poaceae.
UGCCAAUGAUAAUAAAAUUAGUGCUUGGUUCUCAAAACAUUCACAGUUGCCACCUAAGAUCUUUUGCUUUGCCAGGGUUGAGAGAUAAUGUUGUUAGAUCCUUCUUUGAAUGUCUAAGGGA